GUUGUGCCCUUGAGGCGUGGCUUCCGGAGCUAACGCGUUAAGUCGACCGCCUGGGGAGUACGGCCGCAAGGUUAAAACUCAAAUGAAUUGACGGGGGCCCGCACAAGCGGUGGAGCAUGUGGUUUAAUUCGAUGCAACGCGAAGAACCUUACCUGGUCUUGACAUCCACAGAACUUUCCAGAGAUGGAUUGGUGCCUUCGGGAACUGUGAGACAGGUGCUGCAUGGCUGUCGUCAGCUCGUGUUGUGAAAUGUUGGGUUAAGUCCCGCAACGAGCGCAACCCUUAUCCUUUGUUGCCAGCGGUCCGGCCGGGAACUCAAAGGAGACUGCCAGUGAUAAACUGGAGGAAGGUGGGGAUGACGUCAAGUCAUCAUGGCCCUUACGACCAGGGCUACACACGUGCUACAAUGGCGCAUACAAAGAGAAGCGACCUCGCGAGAGCAAGCGGACCUCAUAAAGUGCGUCGUAGUCCGGAUUGGAGUCUGCAACUCGACUCCAUGAAGUCGGAAUCGCUAGUAAUCGUGGAUCAGAAUGCCACGGUGAAUACGUUCCCGGGCCUUGUACACACC
This 568-nucleotide ribosomal RNA is filed under the name Escherichia coli. RNAcentral's name for it is "bacterial SSU rRNA". It matches the Rfam family "Bacterial small subunit ribosomal RNA", at positions 823 to 1391 of the family's 1533-position model. The record is from RNAcentral. Lineage: Bacteria; Pseudomonadati; Pseudomonadota; Gammaproteobacteria; Enterobacterales; Enterobacteriaceae.